GUUUACUUUUCUGCAUUGGCUAGAGGUAUAGGGGGAGGGUUGCGAAAAAACUUGCGAUCUCAUAAACAUGUUUAACCCGCCUAAUUUUUGGGCCUGUCCCAAGUCAGGAGCCUCUGGCCUUUGUUGGUCUUGUAUUUCUUUUUAAUUUUAGUUUCUUGUGUACAAUUUGGAGUUUAGUAUGGCAUUCAUUAUCACUGAACUAGUAUAUAUAUUUGUUUAGGGGCCAGCUGAAGGAUGCCUCUGGGUGCGGGAAUUUCUCGCUGCAUUGAAGACCUGUUGGUAACCUUCUGCUGUUGUCUGCUCUAUGGUUGGAUUGUUGUCUCUUUGACACAUUCCCCAUUUCCAUUCUCAAUUUUAUAUCAUGAGCAAAGAAAGAUAACUCCAACUCAAAUUUAUAAUUUGCCUAGCUAAAUACUAUUCAAUGUUUUAUCUAAAAUACACAAAAUAGCAAAAUGAAAGCAACCUUUACCUUCAGUGCUCACAAGCACUUUGAUUCAUUAUUUCUUUGUAUCAUGAAUGAUGCAUAUGAAAUUGAUAUAAGAUACAAUACUUCCUUCCUCCAAAUAAUUUAAUUUAUUGAGUCUUGAAUUAUAAGCACUUCUUACAAAUAAAUGUAUGUGCAUUAGUUUGUUGAAAUGUCAGUUGAGUUAUUGUAUAUGGUUAAAUAUGUCCAGAUUGUAUCAUUCAAGGAUAGGUUUUCUCUUAUGUAUUCCACCACUUUUAAGUCCUUGCAGGUAGUUCUGAAGGACUUAAAGUCUAUCUGCACAUAAGUUCUUUUAUUUAUCAUGAUUGAAGAACAAACAAAAACCAUGGUUGUCUUGUUGACUGUUAACCUU
Molecule: long non-coding RNA, 836 nt
Filed under: Mytilus galloprovincialis (Mediterranean mussel)
Lineage: Eukaryota; Metazoa; Mollusca; Bivalvia; Mytilida; Mytilidae
Source: RNAcentral